GCAAAUGAGAGUUCAUCGUAAACACAGCAAACCAAAUCAAGAAAACAAAGCAAAUAUGGUUAUUCAUUUCAAAUGGUGGAAUCAGAAUAUCAAUAAGCAAAAACUGGUACAUGGUUUGAUUCACGUUUGAGUUAUAUGUUCCUCAUUUUCCACUAUUCCAUCAAACCAAAACAAACAAUAAAAACUCAAACAAAACUUUUGAAAAGCGGCGAAGUCAGAGAUGUUAAAUAUGCCUCAAACAGUUUUAAGCUCAUAAUGAGGAAAUUACCCCUCAUUCGCACAUCUAAUUGGUUCAUCAUUCUCGCCGUUUCAUUGCAAAACCAAUAAAAACAAUGUAUCCUACCCGAUUAUAUAGAACGAGAUACUAAAUGAACGAAAUUAAAAUCUGAAAAUCCUCAAACGCAAAGAUCUCUAGCAGAUAAAAGAGAUAAACACUUAUAUCUGAAGAGUCAGCGAGAGAGGACCUUAAUUCCAGAUCUAAUGCCGAUAUAAAAAAACUCGACCUAUAAUAAAUCAGGAAGGUAAAAACUGGGUUAGUUCUUAGGAGAACCCUAAUCAAAAACCCUUAAUAAAUUUCGAUUUAGCGCAGCAAUGACUCGACACGCUUCCAUUAAGCAUUUGUGGAAGGCGAUCUUAAGGGCUGCGCAACGAUUUAAAAAAAAAACGAUAAAUACGAAUAACACGAUUUAGAACAUAAGCCCUAAUAUCUAAGAAUU
RNAcentral lists this small RNA (716 nucleotides) under Arabidopsis thaliana (thale cress). RNAcentral describes it as "ATSL243240". Lineage: Eukaryota; Viridiplantae; Streptophyta; Magnoliopsida; Brassicales; Brassicaceae. The record is from RNAcentral.